RNAcentral lists this small nuclear RNA (277 nucleotides) under Chinchilla lanigera (long-tailed chinchilla). Its description in RNAcentral is "7SK RNA (ENSCLAG00000021813.1)". It matches the Rfam family "7SK RNA". From Rfam's summary of the family: 7SK was discovered as an abundant small nuclear RNA in the mid-70s but a possible function has only recently been suggested. Two independent studies have found that 7SK RNA binds the CDK9/cyclin T complex (known as elongation factor P-TEFb). P-TEFb activates transcription by phosphorylating the C-terminal domain of RNA polymerase II. Lineage: Eukaryota; Metazoa; Chordata; Mammalia; Rodentia; Chinchillidae. The record is from Rfam by way of RNAcentral.
GGAUACGAGGGCAAUCUGGCUGCAAUAUCUGUCACCCCACUGAUCACCAAGGUUGAUUCGGCUAGGCGCGUGUCCCCUUUCUCAAAGUUCCAUGUGCGUACCUCCUGAAGCUGCACACUGGGUCAAAGAGGAUGACCUCCCUGAUAAUGAAGGACUGUUUGCUGGUCCAAAGUAUAGGAGUAGCUGUGCUCCCCUGCUAGAACCUCCAAACAAGCUCUCAAGAUACACACACACACACACACACACACACACACACACACACACACACACACAUUUU